UACGAAGGGUGCAAGCGUUACUCGGAAUUACUGGGCGUAAAGCGUGCGUAGGUGGUUUGUUAAGUCGGAUGUGAAAGCCCUGGGCUUAACCUGGGAAUGGCAUUCGAUACUGGCAGACUUGAGUUCGAUAGAGGGUUGUGGAAUUUCCGGUGUAGCGGUGAAAUGCGUAGAGAUCGGAAGGAACAUCAGUGGCGAAGGCGGCAACCUGGAUCAGAACUGACACUGAGGCACGAAAGCGUGGGGAGCAAACAGG
This 253-nucleotide ribosomal RNA is filed under the name uncultured bacterium. RNAcentral's name for it is "partial 16S ribosomal RNA". It matches the Rfam family "Bacterial small subunit ribosomal RNA", at positions 524 to 776 of the family's 1533-position model. The record is from RNAcentral.